GACGAACGCUGGCGGCGUGCUUAACACAUGCAAGUCGAGCGGUAAGGCCCUUUCGGGGGUACACGAGCGGCGAACGGGUGAGUAACACGUGGGUGACCUGCCCUCAGCUCUGGGAUAAGCCUGGGAAACUGGGUCUAAUACCGGAUAUGACUCCAUGACGCAUGUUGUGGGGUGGAAAGCCUUGUGCGGCUGAGGAUGGGGCCCGCGGCCUAUCAGCUUGUUGGUGGGGUGANGGCCUACCAAGGCGACGACGGGUAGCCGGCCUGAGAGGGCGACCGGCCACACUGGGACUGAGACACGGCCCAGACUCCUACGGGAGGCAGCAGUGGGGAAUCUUGCGCAAUGGGCGAAAGCCUGACGCAGCGACGCCGCGUGGGGAUGACGGCCU
This 388-nucleotide ribosomal RNA is filed under the name uncultured bacterium. Its description in RNAcentral is "bacterial SSU rRNA". It matches the Rfam family "Bacterial small subunit ribosomal RNA", at positions 28 to 417 of the family's 1533-position model. The record is from RNAcentral.